AUCGAACGCUGGCGGCAUGCCUAACACAUGCAAGUCGAACGAGUGGCGGACGGGUGAGUAAUGUCUUGGAAACUGCCUGAUGGAGGGGGAUAACUACUGGAAACGGUAGCUAAUACCGCAUACCAUCAGAUGUGCCCAGAUGGGAUUAGCUUGGUGGUGGGGUAACGGCUCACCAAGGCGACGAUCCCUAGCUGGUCUGAGAGGAUGACCAGCCACACUGGGACUGAGACACGGUCCAGACUCCUACGGGAGGCAGCAGUGGGGAAUCUUGCACAAUGGGCGCAAGCCUGAUGCAGCCAUGCCGCGUGUGUGAAGAAGGUCUUCGGAUUGUAAAGCACUGUAAGUUGGGAAGCGUUACCAACAGAAUAAGCACCGGCUAACUUCGUGCCAGCAGCCGCGGUAAUAC
This 406-nucleotide ribosomal RNA is filed under the name uncultured bacterium. RNAcentral describes it as "partial 16S ribosomal RNA". It matches the Rfam family "Bacterial small subunit ribosomal RNA", at positions 30 to 526 of the family's 1533-position model. The record is from RNAcentral.